UACGGGGGGGGGCAAGCGUUGUUCGGACUUACUGGGCGUAAAGGGCUCGUAGGCGGCCAACUAAGUCGGAUGUGAAAUCCCCAGGCUUAACCUGGGAAUUGCAUCCGAUACUGGAUGGCUUGGAUCCGGGAGAGGGAUGCGGAAUUCCAGGUGUAGCGGUGAAAUGCGUAGAUAUCUGGAGGAACACCGGUGGCGAAGGCGGCAUCCUGGACCGACACUGACGCUGAGGAGCGAAAGCCAGGGGAGCAAACGGG
Molecule: ribosomal RNA, 254 nt
Filed under: uncultured bacterium
Lineage: Bacteria
Description: partial 16S ribosomal RNA
Rfam family: Bacterial small subunit ribosomal RNA
Source: RNAcentral